Molecule: ribosomal RNA, 524 nt
Filed under: Aspergillus niger
Lineage: Eukaryota; Fungi; Ascomycota; Eurotiomycetes; Eurotiales; Aspergillaceae
Also listed under: 1 other name
Description: eukaryotic LSU rRNA
Rfam family: 5.8S ribosomal RNA (bases 155-308)
Source: RNAcentral
UCCGUGUCUAUUGUACCCUGUUGCUUCGGCGGGCCCGCCGCUUGUCGGCCGCCGGGGGGGCGCCUCUGCCCCCCGGGCCCGUGCCCGCCGGAGACCCCAACACGAACACUGUCUGAAAGCGUGCAGUCUGAGUUGAUUGAAUGCAAUCAGUUAAAACUUUCAACAAUGGAUCUCUUGGUUCCGGCAUCGAUGAAGAACGCAGCGAAAUGCGAUAACUAAUGUGAAUUGCAGAAUUCAGUGAAUCAUCGAGUCUUUGAACGCACAUUGCGCCCCCUGGUAUUCCGGGGGGCAUGCCUGUCCGAGCGUCAUUGCUGCCCUCAAGCCCGGCUUGUGUGUUGGGUCGCCGUCCCCCUCUCCGGGGGGACGGGCCCGAAAGGCAGCGGCGGCACCGCGUCCGAUCCUCGAGCGUAUGGGGCUUUGUCACAUGCUCUGUAGGAUUGGCCGGCGCCUGCCGACGUUUUCCAACCAUUCUUUCCAGGUUGACCUCGGAUCAGGUAGGGAUACCCGCUGAACUUAAGCAUAUC